RNAcentral lists this microRNA (21 nucleotides) under Citrus sinensis (sweet orange). RNAcentral describes it as "csi-miR12107-3p". The record is from miRBase by way of RNAcentral. Lineage: Eukaryota; Viridiplantae; Streptophyta; Magnoliopsida; Sapindales; Rutaceae.
UCAUUCGCGCUCUCAUCAUUA